Molecule: long non-coding RNA, 349 nt
Filed under: Mytilus galloprovincialis (Mediterranean mussel)
Lineage: Eukaryota; Metazoa; Mollusca; Bivalvia; Mytilida; Mytilidae
Source: RNAcentral
GUGUGCGUCAAGUAAUGUUCAACUGCGUGUGAGUUAUAUAGCAUCUGUUGAAAAUAGGUUAUCGGAUUUGCUAUCCCGUUGGAAUCUUUCGGAGAAGAACAGAUCACAGUUUUUUAUAGAAUCUAAACUUUACAAUUCAGAUUUUAUUGAGAAAGAAGUGUUUGGUCAUAUGUUUAAUGAUAUUAUAAACAUUUAGGUUUUCAUACAUGAUACAUUGACAUUUUUUUUUUGCGCAUAUUUAGUGUCAGAUAAGACUAACUUUGAUAAUUAAUAUGACAUUGUUGUUUAUCUAAUUACUGUUGUUUAUGACUUCCAGGUCUUAAGUCCAGAAGAGCAGUUUUGCAGAAAG